GAUGAACGCUGGCGGCGUGCCUAAUACAUGCAAGUCGAGCGAACAGACUAGGAGCUUGCUCCUCUGACGUUAGCGUCUUACGGGUGAGUAACACGUGGAUAACCUACCUAUAAGACUGGGAUAACUUCGGGAAACCGGAGCUAAUACCGGAUAAUAUAUUGAACCGCAUGGUUCAAUAGUGAAAGACGGUUUUGCUGUCACUUAUAGUUGGAUCCGCUCCGCAUUAGCUAGUUGGUAAGGUAACGGCUUACCAAGGCAACGAUGCGUAGCCGACCUGAGAGGGUGAUCGGCCACACUGGAACUGAGACACGGUCCAGACUCCUACGGGAGGCAGCAGUAGGGAAUCUUCCGCAAUGGGCGAAAGCGUGACGGAGCAAAGCCGCGUGAGUGAUGAAGGUCUUCGGAUCGUAAAACUCUGUUAUUAGGGAAGAACAAAUGUGUAAGUAACUAUGCACGUCUUGACGGUACCUAAUCAGAAAGCCACGGCUAAAUACGUG
RNAcentral lists this ribosomal RNA (497 nucleotides) under uncultured bacterium. RNAcentral describes it as "partial 16S ribosomal RNA". It matches the Rfam family "Bacterial small subunit ribosomal RNA", at positions 28 to 507 of the family's 1533-position model. The record is from RNAcentral.